AUUGAACGCUGGCGGCGUGCCUAACACAUGCAAGUCGAGCGGUAACAGGUGUAGCAAUACAUGCUGACGAGCGGCGAACGGGUGAGUAAUGCUUCGGAAUCUACCUUAUGGUGGGGAAUAACUAGCCGGAAGGUUAGCUAAUACCGCAUACGUCCUACGGGAGAAAGCAGGGGAUCGCAAGACCUCGCGCCAAGAGAUGAGCCGAAGGCGGUGUAGCUAGUUGGUAGGGUAACGGCCGACCAAGGCGACGAGCCGUAGCUGGUCUGAGAGGACGACCAGCCACACUGGGACUGAGACACGGCCCAGACGCCUACGGGAGGCGGCAGUGGGGAAUAUUGGACAAUGGGGGAAACCCUGAUCCAGCGACGCAGCGUGUGUGAAGAAGGCCUGCGGGUUGUAAAGCACUUUUAGUGGGGAUGAAAUGUGCAGGGUUAAUACCUCUGCAUUUUGACCUAACCCACAGAAAAAGCACCGGCUAACUCUGUGCCAGCCGCCGCGGUAA
RNAcentral lists this ribosomal RNA (502 nucleotides) under uncultured bacterium. Its description in RNAcentral is "partial 16S ribosomal RNA". It matches the Rfam family "Bacterial small subunit ribosomal RNA", at positions 29 to 523 of the family's 1533-position model. The record is from RNAcentral.